RNAcentral lists this ribosomal RNA (27 nucleotides) under Huntiella savannae. RNAcentral's name for it is "partial 28S ribosomal RNA". Lineage: Eukaryota; Fungi; Ascomycota; Sordariomycetes; Microascales; Ceratocystidaceae. The record is from RNAcentral.
AAUUUUUUUUAGGUUGACCUCGGAUCA